CCCGGCAUUAAUGCUGUCACAUGUAAAGGGACAGACAGACCCUGUGGUGAGGCGUAAGCUCUGCACUGGGGGUGGUAUUAACAGAUACUACAUACCAAGAAAGACAUCAAGAAAAAAAAAUCCUGAAAUUGCCUCCAUCAGCAUGGCUUUGAGAUGAGGGAAUCAGUGACACAGAGCCUUUGGAAAGUGGUUUGCAAAGCUCCACUUAGAGGGGUCUCCAAAACACAUCCCUGUCUGACAGGGACCUGGAAUCUGUGUGAUCGAGUCUCCACAUGGAUCUGUCUCUUCUAUUGCAGAGCUGCUGCUGAAUUCUGGGAAGCUACAGAGACUGUACUACAGGUACAGGCUCAUGCCUCUCCAAAGACCUUCUCUGAGACACUUCAUCAAGAAGAUACUCUAGUUACCAUCUGAAACACAAACCAUGCUGUUCGAUUCACAAGAGAGGAGCUGUCACUGAAAAUUAAUUCUGCUUUAAAUAGGCUGGCUAGGGCUCCAUCUGUAAGCAAAACUUGAAGGAGCCUGUGAAAACCUUCAGAAAAACACUGCAAAUGGUAACCUGAGAAGAGUACGGAUUUUUUAUUAUUAUUAUUUAUUUUAUGUCCCUUCUUGCUGUCUAAGCAGCUCAUGUUCCUCUUUUCCUCCUACAGGCCUCCUCAUUAAAAUCAAAUGUUUAAAAUGACAAUGCAAAGAAAGAUGUGGUCAUUGUGCAAGACAACUAGUUGGAAAAACACUUUUUUCCCCCAUUACUCGAUCUUACAAGUGAGCAACAGCAGGAGAACCGCAAGGAAGAAAAACAAAUGAGCAUAUGGAGAAGACAACAAACAAGCAGGCAAGCCAGGAAGGAAGAGAAGACUUUUUCCUGGUACCCAGUCAUUCCGUCAUUCGUCUAUAAAGAAGGAAAGGUUACAACUGAAUUACUCAUGCAGAGCUGGCACAGGCCAGCCGCAAGCCCUCUGCGCUCACUGUCAGAGGUGUCAGUACAUGUGUUAUGCCUCCUUUGGUGCACCUUCGUGACAGUCUGUUAGGCUGCCUUCAAUGCCAUCCUGGUGGGGUUUGAGGCUGGCUGCCUGAUACCUCUGCCUAGUCAAUCAGGCGAGCUACCGAAGUGCAGAAGCUGGAGGAGGGAAAAUGAUCAGUUAUCUAGAAAACAAGGAAAAAGCUAAACUUAGGCUAGUUCCUCUGCCAUCUCAGAAAAGGCAAUAAAAACACUCUGAAUUCAACCACUUGCUUUGAAUCAAGACUGGGUAUACUCAAAAUGCCAAACAAGGUAAAAGAAUGAGAAACAGGAUGAUGACAUCAGUAUCAGUACAAAAAAUGAUUGCCUGUGAUUAAGGUGAGGGAAGUACACUGUAUCACACAUCCUAGAGAAACAACAGCUCAUCUUUCAUGUCAGAUCUAGUUCUGAACUGUGCUGAAGCUAUAUUGCUUGCUCAAGUACCAGGAGAUGCACCCCUACUAGCUCUACUUCACUUCUUUAUAAUGAUGUGCAGUAUCACCACUACUGGUCCAGCUCUAUUUAGGACAAGUUACCUUAGCAAUGCUCUCUUUCCUUCUGCAUCCCUACAAACUGUGUACUUCCCUUAAAAUAUAACAAUGGUUGGACGUGAUCUUGGAAGUCUUUUCCAACCUAAACGAUUUUAUGACUCUCUAUAUAAUUACACAUAUAUGCAGAAAAUUCCCAAAUAACAUUUUUUCCCCUUUGUGAAAGUGAAUAGUGGAAAAGAAGAAAACUACUACUGUAUACCCAUUUGUACAGGAAAAUCCCAUGCAAUUUACCACAGGCUGGUGACACCCUAACAGAGCUAAGCAAGGCUGCAAUAAUCUUGUGAUCUAGUGGUGGCACUGCAUGUAUUUUCAAAGAAGUCAGAGAAGGCUAAUAGGGGUGCAUCUCCUGGUCUAUAGUCCAUCUGCUAUUUCAUUCUAGAUCUUCUGCGGACAACCAGCAGUGCUAAGUGAGGCAGUGACGAUCUAAUGAUCUGUAGGAAACUGCAAACCUUGCUUCUCCCCUUUAACUCAGUCACUGUUGGAAGCCACGUGGUCUUGCUGAGGCGAAGGUCAUUAACAAACUGUGAAAAAUGCAUCUUCGGUAUCUAGCCACAACUACCUAAAUUGUUUUCUCCCCCUACAAACUGUCUUAAUCUGUAAAUUAUGCUUUUGACUAUCUGGACUAUAUUCCCAAAGACAACCUAGCAGAACAAAAAUAAAAUUGCUGAACCGUACUCGUGUAACGUAGACCAAACUGAGUAAUUACUACUCACAGAAAAGAUGUAAUAGUCACAUGAUAGAGUGCAAGCUGCCCAGGAGACAUUGAACCCCACUGCUUGUUAGUGCAUUUAUUAGAGAUCAUUACCACAAUGCACUGCAUAGGUGCCAAGCAUCUUCAAAUGGCUUUGUGAACAUCAGUCUCUAGAAGGACAUUAGUUAACAUUAAUCUUCAGAUGUCACAUUUAACCUCUGGAGAGGCACGCGCAAAAUUAAGUUAAUUAGACCACAGGCUUAGCAACAAGAGAAGCUAAUUAUACAGCACAUUUCCAAGUGGCACAUUCAGUUCAUAAGCUACUCUAAUGGAGUUUUACACUUCACCCACUAAUACGAACAUGGCCAUUUGAUACCACGGCUGUCACAGCAUAAUUUCAGAUAGGCAAAACUACUUUCAUCAAAAGGUAUGUUUCAGGUAUGUUUAAUUAGGCUGUAAAUCAACCUACUGUAUUUUAUUGCUCUUCUUUAUAGGCUGAAAAAUAAAAUCAGUAUGACUGAAAUGUCAUACUGGGUAAAAAAAAAAAGUUAUAACUGUAUUUUAGUCUGGGAAAUAUCUCUUUUGCUUAAAUGUAUUUUGAAGAGCACAAACAUAUUAGAAAUUAUUCCUGUUCUAUAUCCUGAGGUAUUAGCACUGACUAUUAACAGCCGUAAUUCAUUAUAACCCCAAACCUUUUAGGUUACAAAGAAGCUUAGAGAAUCACCUAGUUCAGGAAAAAAUGAAGGAGUGUGGGUUUUCUUCUCAGUAUGCUUGGUGUAAAAAGCCCUUGAGUAUAAAUGAAGUGUAUGUGGGGAAGACUGGGAAAGAGGCCCAGAAAAUGCAUUAAGACUUGCAGAGGUCACAUCCUUGUAAACUAUCUGAAUUAGUUUAAUAAGGAGGAAAUUUGGUCUAAGCCAGAACAUCCUUGGUGUUAAUAACUGCACAGUAUUCCCUUGUAGCUUGUUCCACUACUUAUCUAGUCUCAAGCUUUGUUGUUGUCAUUGUUGAUAUACAUUUUCUCUUUUGUAUUGUAAAUCCAUUAUUUGCUUUGUCCUUGUUGACUAGAAUAACAGAAUAAAGUAAUUUUUACAUCAUGCCUUGAGGUUUCUGAAGACAGUUAUAUCUUUCCUAUCACUUUAUUCCACCCUGACCAUGAGUAAUUGUCUUAAUUUUUCCUUGAGGGUCUUAUUUUCCCAAGCGUAUUAUUAAUCACCCCAGAAAUAUGUCUGUAUGUAUGAGGAUCACAGAAUUGUGACUUACAAAGAUGAAAAUAAUGAUUUCUCAGAACCAAGAAAAUACAGGCAAAAACCUUCAGCUGAGAUUUCUCUGUUGGACUAUGGCUGUUUUUGAAAAAUAAACUAAGCUAAGCUGUUUAGAAAUUCUC
Cairina moschata (Muscovy duck) is the source of this 3620-nucleotide long non-coding RNA. The record is from Ensembl. NCBI's taxonomy places the organism in Eukaryota, Metazoa, Chordata, Aves, Anseriformes, Anatidae.